RNAcentral lists this non-coding RNA (31 nucleotides) under Rattus norvegicus (Norway rat). Lineage: Eukaryota; Metazoa; Chordata; Mammalia; Rodentia; Muridae. The record is from RNAcentral.
UGACCCUGAAUACCUCGUAUGCAUUCAGAUC